AGUUAUAGAGAGAUCGGGAGUAGUAACAGCUACACAAGUCUUGUUAUCUGCGCUAGUAGGCUUUGAAACUCCUCCGUUUGUGAGUUCAACGAGUUUACCUACACAAGCCUUCAACUCAGUCAUCCAUGGUUCUGAAAUAGGAUGGGACUUCACAGCAGGUUGUUGAGGAAGUUUUGAAAAUACAGGCAUUGAUGCUUGGCUGACAUAAUCACUUUCUGAUGCAGUGCAUGUUUGACGUUCAAUAUCAUCUAACCCCAAUGGCAACAAG
This 268-nucleotide unclassified non-coding RNA is filed under the name Hevea brasiliensis (rubber tree). The record is from RNAcentral. Lineage: Eukaryota; Viridiplantae; Streptophyta; Magnoliopsida; Malpighiales; Euphorbiaceae.